RNAcentral lists this unclassified non-coding RNA (133 nucleotides) under uncultured fungus. Its description in RNAcentral is "sequence contains ITS1, 5.8S rRNA gene". Lineage: Eukaryota; Fungi. The record is from RNAcentral.
UGAAAUGCAAGGACGCUCUUUUUAGAGGUCCGACCCAAUUCAUUCCUUCACACUGUGCACAAACUACAUUUUACACAUUUUAUACACUAAAGUCUAAGAAUGUAAACGUCUCUUAAUUGAGCAUAAACUAUUA